UCGGGGUCGCGAGUUCGAGUCUCGUUUCCCGCUCCAAAAUUUGAAAAGUGCUGCAAAGCACAGACCACCCAAGCGG
RNAcentral lists this transfer RNA (76 nucleotides) under Escherichia coli K-12. RNAcentral describes it as "tRNA-Gly". The record is from RNAcentral. Lineage: Bacteria; Pseudomonadati; Pseudomonadota; Gammaproteobacteria; Enterobacterales; Enterobacteriaceae.